This 566-nucleotide ribosomal RNA is filed under the name uncultured bacterium. Its description in RNAcentral is "partial 16S ribosomal RNA". It matches the Rfam family "Bacterial small subunit ribosomal RNA", at positions 355 to 913 of the family's 1533-position model. The record is from RNAcentral.
UGGGGAAUUUUGGACAAUGGGGGAAACCCUGAUCCAGCCAUCCCGCGUGUGCGAUGAAGGCCUUCGGGUUGUAAAGCACUUUUGGCAGGAAAGAAACGUCGCGGGUUAAUACCCCGCGAAACUGACGGUACCUGCAGAAUAAGCACCGGCUAACUACGUGCCAGCAGCCGCGGUAAUACGUAGGGUGCAAGCGUUAAUCGGAAUUACUGGGCGUAAAGCGUGCGCAGGCGGUUCGGAAAGAAAGAUGUGAAAUCCCAGAGCUUAACUUUGGAACUGCAUUUUUAACUACCGGGCUAGAGUGUGUCAGAGGGAGGUGGAAUUCCGCGUGUAGCAGUGAAAUGCGUAGAUAUGCGGAGGAACACCGAUGGCGAAGGCAGCCUCCUGGGAUAACACUGACGCUCAUGCACGAAAGCGUGGGGAGCAAACAGGAUUAGAUACCCUGGUAGUCCACGCCCUAAACGAUGUCAACUAGCUGUUGGGGGCCUUCGGGCCUUGGUAGCGCAGCUAACGCGUGAAGUUGACCGCCUGGGGAGUACGGUCGCAAGAUUAAAACUCAAAGGAAUUGG